This 375-nucleotide ribosomal RNA is filed under the name uncultured organism. RNAcentral describes it as "partial 16S ribosomal RNA". It matches the Rfam family "Bacterial small subunit ribosomal RNA", at positions 527 to 896 of the family's 1533-position model. The record is from RNAcentral.
GUAGGUGGCAAGCGUUGUCCGGGAAUUAUUGGGGCGUAAAGCGCGCGCAGGCGGUUCUUUAAGUCUGAUGUGAAAGCCCACGGGCUCAACCGUGGAGGGUCAUUGGAAACUGGAGAACUUGAGUACAGAAGAGGAAAGCGGAAUUCCACGUGUAGCGGUGAGAUGCGUAGAGAUGUGGAGGAACACCAGUGGCGAAGGCGGCUUUCUGGUCUGUAACUGACGCUGAGGCGCGAAAGCGUGGGGAGCAAACAGGAUUAGAUACCCUAGUAGUCCACGCCGUAAACGAUGAGUGCUAAGUGUUAGGGGGUUUCCGCCCCUUAGUGCUGCAGCUAACGCAUUAAGCACUCCGCCUGGGGAGUACGGCCGCAAAGGCUG